UACGAAGGGGGCUAGCGUUGCUCGGAAUUACUGGGCGUAAAGCGCACGUAGGCGGCUUCUUAAGUCGGAGGUGAAAUCCUGGAGCUCAACUCCAGAACUGCCUUCGAUACUGGGAAGCUCGAGUCCGGGAGAGGUGAGUGGAACUGCGAGUGUAGAGGUGAAAUUCGUAGAUAUUCGCAAGAACACCAGUGGCGAAGGCGGUUCUCUGGGCCUGUACUGACGCUGAGGAGCGAAAGCGUGGGGAGCGAACAGG
This 253-nucleotide ribosomal RNA is filed under the name uncultured bacterium. RNAcentral describes it as "partial 16S ribosomal RNA". It matches the Rfam family "Bacterial small subunit ribosomal RNA", at positions 524 to 776 of the family's 1533-position model. The record is from RNAcentral.